This 91-nucleotide microRNA precursor is filed under the name Echinops telfairi (small Madagascar hedgehog). RNAcentral describes it as "miRNA (ENSETEG00000023807.1)". The record is from RNAcentral. Lineage: Eukaryota; Metazoa; Chordata; Mammalia; Afrosoricida; Tenrecidae.
GUCGUGGGCUGGGAGGCGCCGUGUGUGUGUGUGUGUGUGUGUGUGUGUCUAUGAGUGUGCACUUCACACAGCCAGCCCACCCUCUCUCGGG